AUGGACGACCUCAAGCAGAUCCUGGCGCGCCCGAUCCAGCUGGCGGAGCAGGUCAUCAAGUGGUCCGACGAGGCCUACACGUUCCGGCAGGAGUGCGUGGAGCUCAAGGCCAAGGUGGAGCGCCUCGCCGCGCUGCUCCGGCAGGCGGCCCGCGCCGACCUCUACGAGCGCCCCGCCCGCCGCAUCUUCGACGACACCGAGAAGGCGCUCGACAAGGCGCUGGCGCUCGUCGACAAGUGCCGCGCGCACGGCCUCGUCCGCCGCGUCUUCACCAUCAUCCCCGCGGGCUCCUUCAAGAAGAUGGCCAACCAGCUCGACAACUCCACGGGGGACCUCUCCUGGCUGCUCCGCGUCUCCGCAUCCUCCUCCGCCGGCGACGACGACUUCGACAUGCACAUCGGCCUGCCCCCCAUCGCGCAGAACGAGCCCAUCCUCUUCCUCAUCUGGGAGCAGAUCGCGGUGCUAUACACGGGGAACCUCGACGCCCGCGCCGACGCCGCCGCCAGCCUCGUCUCCCUCGCCCGCGACAACGACCGCUACUCCAAGCUCAUCAUCGAGGAGGACGGGGUGCCGCCGCUGCUCAGGCUCGUCAAGGAGGGGCGGCUCGAGGGACAGGAGAGCGCCGCGCUCGCCAUCGGACUCCUCGGACGCGACCCCGAGUGCGUCGAGCAGAUGGUGCUCGCCGGGGCAUGCGCCGCCUUCGCCAAGGUGCUCAAGGACGCCCCCAUGAAGGUGCAGGCCAUGGUCGCCUGGGCCAUCUCCGAGCUCGCCGCCAACCACCCAAAGUGCCAGGACGCCUUCGCGCAGCACAACGCCAUCCGCCUCCUCGUCGGCCACCUCGCCUUCGAGACCGUGCAGGAGCACUCCAAGUAUGCCAUCACCUCCAAGUUGUCCAUACACUCCGUCGUCAUGGACAAAAAGAACAACGGCAUGCCCGACUUGCUCGAGGAGCAUCAGCAUAGCACAGGGAGGCACCCUGCUGCUGCAAAUGCUUCCCAGGGCAAGAACGAGAUGCACAGUUUGGUCCAGUCCACCAUGGCCUCAAAGUCCAACUCCUCCAACUCCAACGGCGGCAGCAGCAAGGGCGGUAACGGCGGGGGUGCUAUCGCGUCAAAGCAGCAUAAUGCAUCGCUCUCAGGGACAACCACAAGGGGCAGGGAGUUCGAGGACCCCGAGACAAAGGCAUACAUGAAGGCCAAUGCUGCCAAGGCUCUGUGGCACCUCGCCAAGGGCAAUGCUGCUAUCUGCAAGAGCAUCACCGAGUCAAGGGCUCUUCUCUGCUUUGCGGUUCUUCUGGAAAAGGGGGAAGGUGACGUGCAAUACAAUUCUGCGAUGGCUCUGAUGGAGAUCUGCAGUGUCGCCGAGCAGAACUCCGACCUGCGACGGUCAGCAUUUAAACCAACCUCUCCCGCCGCCCGUGCUGUUGUUGACCAGCUCCUACGCGUCGUCGAGAAGGCCGAGUAUGAUGACCUCCUGAUUCCCUGCAUUAUCUCAUUGGGCUGCCUGUCCAGAACCUUUCGCGCAACAGAGACUAGGAUCAUUGGUCCAUUGGUGAAGCUUCUUGAUGAGAGGGAAGCAGAUGUCUCCAAGGAGGCAGCAAUGUCCCUUACCAAGUUUGUGUGCACAGACAAUUACCUGCGCGUUGACCAUUCUAAAGCGAUCGUCGACGCGGGUGGCGCAAAGCAUCUUGUUCAGCUCGUGUAUUUCAGCGAGCAGGCGGUUCAGCUGGCAGCACUCACCCUUGUAUGUUACAUUGCACACAAUGUCCCAGACAGCGAGGAGUUGGCACAAGCGGAGAUCCUCACGGUGCUCGAAUGGGCCUCCAAACAGGCAUACAUGAUGCAAGACCCGAUGAUCGAGAACUUGUUGCCAGAGGCGAAGAUCAGGUUGGAGCUGUACCAAUCCAGAGGCGCAAAGGGCUACUAUUAG
Molecule: ribosomal RNA, 1929 nt
Filed under: Triticum aestivum (bread wheat)
Lineage: Eukaryota; Viridiplantae; Streptophyta; Magnoliopsida; Poales; Poaceae
Description: partial small subunit ribosomal RNA
Source: RNAcentral